This 532-nucleotide ribosomal RNA is filed under the name uncultured bacterium. Its description in RNAcentral is "bacterial SSU rRNA". It matches the Rfam family "Bacterial small subunit ribosomal RNA", at positions 976 to 1509 of the family's 1533-position model. The record is from RNAcentral.
UGGCCUUGACAUACUAAGAACUUUCCAGAGAUGGAUUGGUGCCUUCGGGAACUUAGAUACAGGUGCUGCAUGGCUGUCGUCAGCUCGUGUCGUGAGAUGUUGGGUUAAGUCCGCAACGAGCGCAACCCUUUUCCUAUUUGCCAGCGGGUAAUGCCGGGAACUUUAAGGAUACUGCCAGUGACAAACUGGAGGAAGGCGGGGACGACGUCAAGUCAUCAUGGCCCUUACGGCCAGGGCUACACACGUGCUACAAUGGUCGGUACAAAGGGUUGCUACCUCGCGAGAGGAUGCUAAUCUCAAAAAGCCGAUCGUAGUCCGGAUCGCAGUCUGCAACUCGACUGCGUGAAGUCGGAAUCGCUAGUAAUCGCGGAUCAGAAUGCCGCGGUGAAUACGUUCCCGGGCCUUGUACACACCGCCCGUCACACCAUGGGAGUUUGUUGCACCAGAAGUAGGUAGUCUAACCGCAAGGAGGACGCUUACCACGGUGUGGCCGAUGACUGGGGUGAAGUCGUAACAAGGUAGGCGUAGAUGA